CAACAGGGAUUACCUCAGUAACGGCGAGUGAAGCGGUAACAGCUCAAAUUUGAAAUCUGGCUCCUCGGGGCCCGAAUUGUAAUUUGUAGAAGAUGCUUUGGGUCUGGGCCUGGCCUAAGUUCCUUGGAACAGGACGUCGUAGAGGGUGAGAAUCCCGUAUGCGGCUGGCGCCCGUGCCCGUGUAAAGCUCUUUCAACGAGUCGAGUUGUUUGGGAAUGCAGCUCUAAAUGGGUGGUAAAUUUCAUCUAAAGCUAAAUAUUGGCCAGAGACCGAUAGCGCACAAGUAGAGUGAUCGAAAGAUGAAAAGCACUUUGGAAAGAGAGUUAAACAGUACGUGAAAUUGUUGAAAGGGAAGCGCUGGCAACCAGACUUGGGCGCUGUUGAUCCGCUAGGGUUCUCUCUAGGGCACUCGGCAGUGCGCAGGCCAGCAUCGGUUUGGGGGGUUGGAGAAUGGCUGGUGGAAUGUGGCUGUCUUUGGGCAGUGUUAUAGCCACCGGUGGCAUGCAGCCUCCCCGGACCGAGGACCGCGCUUCGGCUAGGAUGCUGGCGUAAUGGUUGUCAGCGACCCGUCUUGAAACACGGACCAAGGAGUCUAACAUCUAUGCGAGUGUUUGGGUGUUAAACCCAUACGCGGAAUGAAAGUGAACGUAGGUGAGAACCCGCAAGGGUGCAUCAUCGACCGAUCCUGAUGUCUUCGGAUGGAUUUGAGUAAGAGCAUAGCUGUUGGGACCCGAAAGAUGGUGAACUAUGCCUGAAUAGGGUGAAGCCAGAGGAAACUCUGGUGGAGGCUCGCAGCGGUUCUGACGUGCAAAUCGAUCGUCAAAUUUGGGUAUAGGGGCGAAAGACUAAUCGAACCAUCUAGUAGCU
This 867-nucleotide ribosomal RNA is filed under the name Podosphaera xanthii. RNAcentral describes it as "partial large subunit ribosomal RNA". It matches the Rfam family "Eukaryotic large subunit ribosomal RNA", at positions 66 to 952 of the family's 3401-position model. The record is from RNAcentral. Lineage: Eukaryota; Fungi; Ascomycota; Leotiomycetes; Helotiales; Erysiphaceae.